UGAGUGGCGAACGGGUGAGUAACACGUGAGUAACCUGCCCUCUUCUUUGGGAUAACGCCCGGAAACAGGUGCUAAUACUGGAUAUUCACUGGCCUUCGCAUGGGGGUUGGUGGAAAGGUUUGUUCUGGUGGGGGAUGGGCUCGCGGCCUAUCAGCUUGUUGGUGGGGUGAUGGCCUACCAAGGCUUUGACGGGUAGCCGGCCUGAGAGGGUGACCGGUCACAUUGGGACUGAGAUACGGCCCAG
Molecule: ribosomal RNA, 244 nt
Filed under: uncultured bacterium
Lineage: Bacteria
Description: partial 16S ribosomal RNA
Rfam family: Bacterial small subunit ribosomal RNA
Source: RNAcentral